CUGCUACUCCCUCUGAUCCAUAUUAGUUGUCACUCAAAUGGAUGUAUCUAGCACUAAAAUACAUCUAGAUACAUCCGUUUCAGCUACAACUAAUAUGGAUCGGAGGGAGUAGUAG
Molecule: non-coding RNA, 115 nt
Organism: Triticum aestivum (bread wheat)
Lineage: Eukaryota; Viridiplantae; Streptophyta; Magnoliopsida; Poales; Poaceae
Source: Rfam